AUACAUGCAAGUUGAGCGCUGAAGGUUGGUACUUGUACCGACUGGAUGAGCAGCGAACGGGUGAGUAACGCGUGGGGAAUCUGCCUUUGAGCGGGGGACAACAUUUGGAAACGAAUGCUAAUACCGCAUAAAAACUUUAAACACAAGUUUUAAGUUUGAAAGAUGCAAUUGCAUCACUCAAAGAUGAUCCCGCGUUGUAUUAGCUAGUUGGUGAGGUAAAGGCUCACCAAGGCGAUGAUACAUAGCCGACCUGAGAGGGUGAUCGGCCACAUUGGGACUGAGACACGGCCCAAACUCCUACGGGAGGCAGCAGUAGGGAAUCUUCGGCAAUGGACGAAAGUCUGACCGAGCAACGCCGCGUGAGUGAAGAAGGUUUUCGGAUCGUAAAACUCUGUUGGUAGAGAAGAACGUUGGUGAGAGUGGAAAGCUCAUCAAGUGACGGUAACUACCCAGAAAGGGACGGCUAACUACGUGCCAGCAGCCGCGGUAAUACGUAGGUCCCGAGCGUUGUCCGGAUUUAUUGGGCGUAAAGCGAGCGCAGGUGGUUUAUUAAGUCUGGUGUAAAAGGCAGUGGCUCAACCAUUGUAUGCAUUGGAAACUGGUAGACUUGAGUGCAGGAGAGGAGAGUGGAAUUCCAUGUGUAGCGGUGAAAUGCGUAGAUAUAUGGAGGAACACCGGUGGCGAAAGCGGCUCUCUGGCCUGUAACUGACACUGAGGCUCGAAAGC
This 726-nucleotide ribosomal RNA is filed under the name Lactococcus lactis. Its description in RNAcentral is "bacterial SSU rRNA". It matches the Rfam family "Bacterial small subunit ribosomal RNA", at positions 51 to 760 of the family's 1533-position model. Lineage: Bacteria; Bacillati; Bacillota; Bacilli; Lactobacillales; Streptococcaceae. The record is from RNAcentral.